AUGACGCUCAUCAGCUGGAACUGUCGAGGAAUUGGGCAGCCUCGCACAGUUCAUGAGCUAGUGGGCCUUGUGCACACAUAUAAGCCUAAGUUAGUUUUUCUGUCAGAAACUCGGAAAAGCGAUGAGUACGUGAAUAAUCUUAGAUGGAGGCUGGGCCUUCGGCAUUGUAUUGUGCAGCCCGGCAUCGGCAAGAGUGCCGGGAUUGUGCUGUUUUAUGAGGAGGGUGUGGAAAUAAAGGAAAUCGCUGUUGGACCGAGGUAUAUCUAUGUGCUAAUUCGGUUAAGUCCCAAUGCUAUGCAAUGGAGGGGUACAUUCGUAUAUGGAGAACCUAAAUCACAUGAACGACAUCACAUGUGGGAACUCCUGAGAAGGAUUAGGAACAAUUCUUCUGAACCGUGGCUCAUGAUAGGUGAUUUUAACGAAACCAUGUGACAGAGCGAACACUUCUCGCGAGCAAAAAGGUCUGAAAGUAAUAUGGCCAAUUUUCGCCAAGUUCUUGCGGACUGCAAUCUUCAGGACCUGUGUUUCAAAGGUACGACGUGGACGUAUGAUAAUAAAUAGCGUGGGGACAAGAAUGUCAAGGCUCGCCUAGAUAGAGGGGUUGCAACACGAGAAUGGUGCAAAGCGUUUGGAGAGGCCAAGAUCAAACAUAUCUGUUCCUCAAGAUCGGAUCACGUCCCCUUGCUGUUGCGAUUUGGAAAG
Molecule: ribosomal RNA, 702 nt
Filed under: Triticum aestivum (bread wheat)
Lineage: Eukaryota; Viridiplantae; Streptophyta; Magnoliopsida; Poales; Poaceae
Description: partial small subunit ribosomal RNA
Source: RNAcentral